Molecule: long non-coding RNA, 1386 nt
Filed under: Lynx pardinus (Iberian lynx)
Lineage: Eukaryota; Metazoa; Chordata; Mammalia; Carnivora; Felidae
Source: RNAcentral
CGCCGCGCGCCCAGGGACAGGAGAGAGGGUGAGCACGGGGACGCGCGGCGGCCACACGACCCUCGUCGUCACCCGCCCGGGGAGUGGUACGAGAGGAGUGGGGGGAGGGGGUCCCUCAGCCGGCGCGGACGGCGGCUAACGUCUCCCGAAGGCGGCCGCUGCAGCUUCUCGACCCCAGUCCCCUCCCCCAGCAGCAGCCCAGCAGCGAGCACGCCCACCGUUCGUCUCCUCCGCGGCGCGGGGCCGGCUGGGAGAUGGAGUGCAGAGCCCGGUGGAGGCUAAAGGAGGCCGCCCCGCGGACACUACAACUCCCAGAAUGCACCGCCCAUUUGGCAGCUUUGCUUCACCCCCCCCUACCGCCCCCUCUGCCUUCGGUUUUUCUCGAGCCGCCGCCUCCGUCCACCGACUGCGGGUUGGUGUUCUCGGAAUGCGAGUAGUUGGCUGCCUCUCCUGCGCAGCGCCAGGGUGAUCGCAACCAUUACUCCACACGUGAAAUCGUUUUUCCUUAAAGCCUUGAUCGACGAAGCACGAAGAAGGGAAGAAAGCGGUGGCAGCUGUCUGGAAAACUGGUUGCAGGUGGACCUAGCCCUAGUGCUGGGAGGAAACGUUGGAUACUUGGGCUUUUGAGGAAAUACCCGCGUCAGUGCCAGACAGGCGAGCCAGAGAACGGAAUCUCCCUUUUCCUCCUGUAACAGAUGUUGGUCUAUGUUUUCAUGAGUAAUGUAUUCAAAAAUGGUCCGCGAGGGACUUCAGUACAUCUGCUUAGCCCUUAAUUCACCUGAGUUGUAAAUUUAAUUCAGGGGCUUCCUUGAAACCAAGCGACGUAGGACCCAGAGCUGAAGAUUUUGCCGCAAUGGCUUGAACAAAUCACUGGGAAAUAAGACAGUUUUUAAUCAUCUCAAGUACUCUGUCUCUACCUGCAAUCAAAACUCCUCAAUUCCGCCCCAUUAUAUUCACUCGUUAAAGAGGUGCCCCCCGAAGAGGAGAGGAUAAAUACGUAGCCCUCUUUUAGAGGGUACCGUAAAUAGCCUUCCCGUUUUCCUGCCACUCUUGCUUCCCGCAGUACCUUUCCAUUCCACGAAUUCCUUUCCUGUUGUUCUCUGUCUCCAAAGACAAGUCGACAAAAUCUGAGCAGAAAUCUCUUGAUUUAAUAAAUAUAUCCUGGCCAAAAAAAUAAAAAAAUAUAUAUAUCCUGGCCAUAACCUAGCUGUCUCACUCUGUAAACUAUGCCCUAAGCAGCAGUAUUAUGAACAAAUACUGCAUAUGAAAAUACAUUAUGGGAUAAUGACUUUGCGGAAGAUUUAAUACAAGGUUCCUAUGAAGAAAAUGAAUCCAGUGCAAUUAUGAUGCAUUUGCCAAAAAAAAAAAAAUCAUGCUUUUUUUUUU